Molecule: ribosomal RNA, 357 nt
Filed under: Austromitra analogica
Lineage: Eukaryota; Metazoa; Mollusca; Gastropoda; Neogastropoda; Costellariidae
Description: partial 12S ribosomal RNA
Source: RNAcentral
UCUUGGUAGUAAAAUAUAUCCACCUGAGUAUUAUGAAUAAAAUAUUUAAAACUCAAAGGGCUUGGCGGUGUUUUAGAUCUUUUAGGGGAACCUGUCUUAUAAUCGACAAUCCACGUUAUACCUAACCUUUUUUUGUUUAAUUUGUAUACCAUCGUCGUCGGGUAACUUUUAAAAUUUUGUUUACAAAAAAGUAAUAAUAAACUUAAAUGUCAGAUCAAGGUGCAAUUUAUAAAAAGGACGAGAUGGGUUACAUUUAUAAAAUAGUAAUACGGACGAUUAAUUGAAACAUUAUUCUAAAGGAGGACUUGAAAGUAAAAAUAUUUAUAUAAAAAAGCUGAAUAAGGUUCUAAAACGUGC